Molecule: non-coding RNA, 7767 nt
Organism: Xyrichtys novacula (pearly razorfish)
Lineage: Eukaryota; Metazoa; Chordata; Actinopteri; Labriformes; Labridae
Source: the annotation of a GenBank genome assembly
AGGGUUAGGGUUGGAGCUAGGGUUAGGGUUAGGGUUAGGGUUGGAACUAGGGUUAGGUCUAGGGUUAGGGUUGGAGCUAGGGUUAGGGUUAGGGUUAGGGUUGGAGUUAGGGUUAGGGUUAGGGUUGGAGUUAGGGUUGGAGCUAGGGUUAGGGUUGGAGCUAGGGUUAGGGUUAGGGUUAGGGUUGGAGUUGGAGUUAGGGUUGGAGCUAGGGUUAGGGUUAGGGUUAGGGUUGGAGCUAGGGUUAGGGUUAGGGUUGGAGUUAGGGUUGGAGCUAGGGUUUGGGUUAGGGUUAGGGUUGGAGCUAGGGUUAGAGUUAGGGUUGGAGUUAGGGUUGGAGUUAGGGUUGGAGCUAGGGUUAGGGUUGGAGUUAGGGUUGGGGUUAGGGUUAGGGUUGGAGUUAGGGUUGGAGCUAGGGUUAGGGUUAGGGUUGGCGCUUGGGUUAGGGUUAGGGUUAGUGUUGGAGUUAGGGUUGCAGCUAGGGUUAGGGUUGGAGCUAGGGUUAGGGUUAGGGUUGGAGUUAGGGUUAGGGUUAGGGUUAGGGUUUGAGUUAGGGUUAGGGUUGGAGCUAGGGUUAGGGUAAGGGUUAGGGUUGGAGCUAGGGUUAGGGUUAGGGUUAGGGUUUGAGCUAGGGUUAGGGUUAGGGUUAGGGUUAGGGUUAGGGUUAGGGUUAGGGUUAGGGUUGGAGUUAGGGUUGCAGCUAGGGUUAGGGUUAGGGUUAGGGUUGGAGCCAGGAUUAAGGUUAGGGUUAGGGUUGGAGUUAGGGUUAGGGUUAGGGUUGGAGCUAGGGUUAGGGUUAGGGUUAGGGUUGGAGCUAGGGUUAGGGUUAGGGUUAGGGUUAGGGUUUGAGUUAGGAUAUAGGGGUAUGUGCCACUUUUGACAUGCCGGUUCAUUGCCUUUCCCAUUGAUGAACCGGGCUGAGAUUUGGUCUACCCCCCAUUUUCGGGUAUGCUGAAUCUAGAAAUAGUAAUGAACCAGCGAUCGGACAUUCCUAUCAAAAGUUAUGGCGAAGUGAAAAUUUCCCAUUGAAAAUGAAUGGGAGCGGAAAAAUGGCCAAAGUCAGUGUUUGCAAGUGUUGUACUUGUCUGGAAAUGUUGAAAAUGCAUUGUGAGCACGUUUCAGGCCAUUUCCUGUCAUUUGAGGGCGACUUUGCAAAAAGGGGUGUCAUACCGCUUUUGACCAGAGGUGGCGCUGAAACCAGUUCGAGGGUUAGGGUUAGGGUGAGACUUAGGGCUAGGGGUUAGGGUUAGGGCUGGAGCUAUGGUUAGGGUUAGGGUUAGGGUUAAGGUUGGAACUAGGGUUAGGGUUAAGGUUAGGGUUUGAAAAAUCUUCCACCCCCAACAUGCAAGUUUCAGCGCUCUACGACCUACAAAAUGCAUAUAGCUAUCCCUAACCCUAACCCUAACUCCAACCCUAACCCUAACCCUAGCUCCAACCCUAACCCUAACCCUAACCCUAGCUGCAACCCUAACUCCAACCCUAACCCUAACCCUAACCCUAGCUCCAACCCUUACCCUAACCCUAGCUCCAACCCUAACUCCAACCCUAACCCUAACCCUAACCCUCGCUCCAACCCUAACUCCAACCCUAACCCUAACCCUAACCCUAGCUCCAACCCAAACCCAAACCCUAACCCUAGCUCCAACCCUAACUCCAACCCUAACCCUAACGCUAACUCCAACCCUUACCCUAACCCUAACUCCAACACUAACCCUAACCCCAACCCUUGCUCCAACCCUAACCCUAACCCUAAACAUAGCUCCAACCCUAACCCUAACCCUAGCUCAAACCCUAACUCCAACCCUAGCUCCAACCCUAACUCCAACCCUAACCCUAACCCUAACCCUAGCUCCAACCCUAACCCUAACCCUAACCCUAGAUGCAACCCUAACUCUAACCCUAUCCCUAACACUAACCCUAUCUCCUACCCUAACCCUAACCCUAGCUCCAACCCUAACCCUAACCCUAGCUGCAACCCUAACUCCAACCCUAACCCUUACCCUAACCCUAGCUCCAACCCUAACCCUAACCCUAACUCCAACCCUAACCCUAACCCUAACCCUAGCUCCAACCCUAACCCUAACCCUAGCUCAACCCUAACCCUAACCCUAACCCUAGCUGCAACCCUAACCCUAACCCUAACCCUUGCUCCAACCCUAAACCUAACCCUAACCCUAGCUGCAACCCUUACUCCAACCUUAACCCUAACCCUAACCCUAGCUCCAACCCUAACCCUAACCCUAACCCUAGCUCCCACCCUAACUCCAACCCUAACCCUAACCCUAACCCUAGCUCCAACCCUAUCCCUAACCCUAACCCUUGCUCCAACCCUAACCCUAACCCUAACCCUAGCUGCAACCCUAACUCCAACUCUAACCCUAACCCUAACUCCAACCCUAACCCUAACCCUAACCCUAGCUCCAACCCUAACUCCAACCCUAACCCUAACCCUAGCUCCAACACGAACCCUUACCCUAACCCUAGCUCCAACCCUAACCCUAACUCCAACCCUAACCCUAACCCUAACCCUAACUCCAACCCUAACCCUUACUUUAACUCCAACCCUAACCCUAACCCUAACCCUAGCUCCAACCCUAACCCUAACCCUAGCUCAACCCUAACCCUAACCCUAACCCUAGCUGCAACCAUAACUCCAACCAUAACCCUAACCCUAACCCUAACUCCAACCCUAACCCUAACUCCAACCCUAACCCUAACCCUAACCCUAGCUCCAACCCUAACUCCAACCCUAACCCUAACCCUAGCUCCAACCCUAACCCUAAUCCUAGCUCCAACCCUAACCCUAACUCCAACCCUAACCCUAACCCUAACCCUAACUCCAACCCUAACCCUAACCCUAACCCUAACUCCAACCCUAACCCUAACUCCAACCCUAACCCUAACCCUAACCCUAACCCUAGCUCCAACCCUAACCCUAACCCUAACCCUAACCCUAGCUGCAACUCCAACCCUAACCCUAACCCUAACCCUAGCUCCAACCCUAACCCUAACUCCAACCCUAACCCUAACUCUAACCCUAACCCUAACCCUAACCCUAACCCUAACCCUAACCCUAGCUCUAACACUAACCCUAACCCUAACCCUAACCCUAGCUGCAACCCUAACUCCAACCCUAACCCUAACCCUAACCCUAGCUCCAACCCUAACCCUAACUCCAACCCUAACCCUAACCCUAACCCUAACCCUAGCUCCAACCCUAACCCUAACCCUAACCCUAGCUGCAACCCUAACCCCCACACUAACCCUAACCCUAACCCUAGCUCCAACCCUAACCCUAACCCUAUCUCCAACCCUUACUCCAACCCUAACCCUAAUCCUAACCCUGGCUCCAACCCUAACCCUAGCUCCAACCCUAACUCCAACCCUAACCCUAACCCUAACCCUAACCCUAGCUCCAACCCUAACCCUAACCCUAACCCUAGCUCCAACCCUAACUCCAACUCCAACCCUAACCCUAACCCUGACCCUAGCUCCAACCCUGACCCUAACCCUAACCCUGGCUCCAAUCCUAACCCUAACCCUAGCUGCAACCCUAACUAACUAAGGGUUAGGGUUGGAGCUAGGGUUAGGGUUAGGGUUAGGGUUGGAACUAGGGUUAGGUCUAGGGUUAGGGUUGGAGCUAGGGUUAGGGUUAGGGUUAGGGUUGGAGUUAGGGUUAGGGUUAGGGUUGGAGUUAGGGUUGGAGCUAGGGUUAGGGUUGGAGCUAGGGUUAGGGUUAGGGUUAGGGUUGGAGUUGGAGUUAGGGUUGGAGCUAGGGUUAGGGUUAGGGUUAGGGUUGGAGCUAGGGUUAGGGUUAGGGUUGGAGUUAGGGUUGGAGCUAGGGUUUGGGUUAGGGUUAGGGUUGGAGCUAGGGUUAGAGUUAGGGUUGGAGUUAGGGUUGGAGUUAGGGUUGGAGCUAGGGUUAGGGUUGGAGUUAGGGUUGGGGUUAGGGUUAGGGUUGGAGUUAGGGUUGGAGCUAGGGUUAGGGUUAGGGUUGGCGCUUGGGUUAGGGUUAGGGUUAGUGUUGGAGUUAGGGUUGCAGCUAGGGUUAGGGUUGGAGCUAGGGUUAGGGUUAGGGUUGGAGUUAGGGUUAGGGUUAGGGUUAGGGUUUGAGUUAGGGUUAGGGUUGGAGCUAGGGUUAGGGUAAGGGUUAGGGUUGGAGCUAGGGUUAGGGUUAGGGUUAGGGUUUGAGCUAGGGUUAGGGUUAGGGUUAGGGUUAGGGUUGGAGUUAGGGUUAGGGUUAGGGUUAGGGUUGGAGUUAGGGUUGCAGCUAGGGUUAGGGUUAGGGUUAGGGUUGGAGCCAGGAUUAAGGUUAGGGUUAGGGUUGGAGUUAGGGUUAGGGUUAGGGUUGGAGCUAGGGUUAGGGUUAGGGUUAGGGUUGGAGCUAGGGUUAGGGUUAGGGUUAGGGUUAGGGUUUGAGUUAGGAUAUAGGGGUAUGUGCCACUUUUGACAUGCCGGUUCAUUGCCUUUCCCAUUGAUGAACCGGGCUGAGAUUUGGUCUACCCCCCCAUUUUCGGGUAUGCUGAAUCUAGAAAUAGUAAUGAACCAGCGAUCGGACAUUCCUAUCAAAAGUUAUGGCGAAGUGAAAAUUUCCCAUUGAAAAUGAAUGGGAGCGGAAAAAUGGCCAAAGUCAGUGUUUGCAAGUGUUGUACUUGUCUGGAAAUGUUGAAAAUGCAUUGUGAGCACGUUUCAGGCCAUUUCCUGUCAUUUGAGGGCGACUUUGCAAAAAGGGGUGUCAUACCGCAUUUGACCAGAGGUGGCGCUGAAACCAGUUCGAGGGUUAGGGUUAGGGUGAGACUUAGGGCUAGGGGUUAGGGUUAGGGCUGGAGCUAUGGUUAGGGUUAGGGUUAGGGUUAAGGUUGGAACUAGGGUUAGGGUUAAGGUUAGGGUUGGAAAAAUCUUCCACCCCCAACAUGCAAGUUUCAGCGCUCUACGACCUACAAAAUGCAUAUAGCUAUCCCUAACCCUAACCCUAACUCCAACCCUAACCCUAACCCUAGCUCCAACCCUAACCCUAACCCUAACCCUAGCUGCAACCCUAACUCCAACCCUAACCCUAACCCUAACCCUAGCUCCAACCCUUACCCUAACCCUAGCUCCAACCCUAACUCCAACCCUAACCCUAACCCUAACCCUCGCUCCAACCCUAACUCCAACCCUAACCCUAACCCUAACCCUAGCUCCAACCCAAACCCAAACCCUAACCCUAGCUCCAACCCUAACUCCAACCCUAACCCUAACGCUAACUCCAACCCUUACCCUAACCCUAACUCCAACACUAACCCUAACCCCAACCCUUGCUCCAACCCUAACCCUAACCCUAAACAUAGCUCCAACCCUAACCCUAACCCUAGCUCAAACCCUAACUCCAACCCUAGCUCCAACCCUAACUCCAACCCUAACCCUAACCCUAACCCUAACUCCAACCCUAACCCUAACCCUAACCCUAACCCUAACCCUAGAUGCAACCCUAACUCCAACCUUAACCCUAACCCUAGCUCCAACCCUAACCCUAACCCUAGCUGCAACCCUAACUCCAACCCUAACCCUUACCCUAACCCUAGCUCCAACCCUAACCCUAACCCUAACUCCGACCCUAACCCUAACCCUAACCCUAGCUCCAACCCUAACCCUAACCCUAGCUCAACCCUAACCCUAACCCUAACCCUAGCUGCAACCCUAACCCUAACCCUAGCUGCAACCCUAACUCCAACCCUAACCCUUACCCUAACCCUAGCUCCAACCCUAACCCUAACCCUAACUCCGACCCUAACCCUAACCCUAACCCUAGCUCCAACCCUAACCCUAACCCUAGCUCAACCCUAACCCUAACCCUAAGCCUAGCUGCAACCCUAACCCUAACCCUAACCCUUGCUCCAACCCUAAACCUAACCCUUACCCUAGCUGCAACCCUAACUCCAACCUUAACCCUAACCCUAACCCUAGUCCAACCUAACCCUAACCCUAACCCUAGCUCCCACCCUAACUCCAACCCUAACCCUAACCCUAACCCUAUCGCCUACCCUAACCCUAACCCUAGCUCCAACCCUAACCCUAACCCUAGCUGCCACCCUAACUCAACCCUAUCCCUAACACUAACCCUAUCUCCUACCCUAACCCUAACCCUAGCUCCAACCCUAACCCUAACCCUAGCUGCAACCCUAACUCCAACCCUAACCCUUACCCUUACCCUAACCCUAGCUCCAACCCUAACCCUAACCCUAAACCUAGCUCCAACCCUAACCCUAACCCUAACCCUAGCUCCCACCCUAACUCCAACCCUAACCCUAACCCUAACCCUAGCUCCAACCCUAACUCCAACCCUAACCCUAACCCUAGCUCCAACACUAACCCUUACCCUAACCCUAGCUCCAACCCUAACCCUAACUCCAACCCUAACCCUAACCCUAACCCUAGCUCCAACCCUAACCCUAACCCUAGCUCAACCCUAACCCUAACCCUAACCCUAGCUGCAACCAUAACUCCAACCAUAACCCUAACCCUAACCCUAACUCCAACCCUAACCCUAACUCUAGCUCCAACCCUAACCCUAACCCUAACCCUAGCUCCAACCCUAAAUCCAACCCUAACCCUAACCCUAGCUCCAACCCUAACCCUAAUCCUAGCUCCAACCCUAACCCUAACUCCAACCCUAACCCUAACCCUAACCCUAACUCCAACCCUAACCCUAACCCUAACCCUAACUCCAACCCUAACCCUAACUCCAACCCUAACCCUAACCCUAACCCUAGCUCCAACCCUAACCCUAACCCUAACCCUAACCCUAGCUGCAACCCUAACUCCAACCCUAACCCUAACCCUAGCUCCAACCCUAACCCUAACUCCAACCCUAACCCUAACUCCAACCCUAACCCUAACCCUAGCUCCAACCCUAGCUCCAACCCUAACCCUAACCCUAACCCUAGCUGCAACCCUAACCCCCACACUAACCCUAACCCUAACCCUAGCUCCAACCCUAACCCUAACCCUAGCUCCAACCCUGACUCCAACCCUAACCCUAAUCCUAACCCUGGCUCCAACCCUAACCCUAGCUCCAACCCUAACUCCAACCCUAACCCUAACCCUAACCCUAACCCUAGCUCCAACCCUAACCCUAACCCUAACCCUAGCUCCAACCCUAACUCCAACUCCAACCCUAACCCUAACCCUGACCCUAGCUCCAACCCUGACCCUAACCCUAACCCUAACUCCAACCCUAACCCUAACUCUAACCCUAACCCUAACUCCAACCCUAACCCUAACCCUAACCCUAACCCUAGCUCUAACACUAACCCUAACCCUAACCCUAACCCUAGCUGCAACCCUAACUCCAACCCUAACCCUAACCCUAACCCUAGCUCCAACCCUAACCCUAACUCCAACCCUAACCCUAACUCCAACCCUAACCCUAACCCUAGCUCCAACCCUAACCCUAACCCUAACCCUAGCUGCAACCCUAACCCCCACACUAACCCUAACCCUAACCCUAGCUCCAACCCUAACCCUAACCCUAGCUCCAACCCUGACUCCAACCCUAACCCUAAUCCUAACCCUGGCUCCAACCCUAACCCUAGCUCCAACCCUAACUCCAACCCUAACCCUAACCUUAACCCUAACCCUAGCUCCAACCCUAACCCUAACCCUAACCCUAGCUCCAACCCUAACUCCAACUCCAACCCUAACCCUAACCCUGACCCUAGCUCCAACCCUGACCCUAACCCUAACCCUGGCUCCAAUCCUAACCCUAACCCUAGCUGCAACCCUAAC